UUGCCUGGAACUGGAUAUGAGAAAUGCUUGAAUUAAGAUCUGUGAAUUAUCUUAUUUUCUUGUCAGAAGGAUGCAGAUUGCCCAUACUUCAUAGCAGAGCAACAGGAGGGACUUAGGGACAAAAAGAGGAAAACGAAGGCAUUACAAAACAAGCAUAUUAAGUAUACGAUUCACAUCCCAACAGCUCAAAGGCAAGGAAGACUGAGGAAGCUAAGUUACUGGCCAUAUGUUUAAUAAAUAUAAGCUUAAUGGCAGUGAAUGUAUUAAUGUCAGCGAAGACAAGUCUAUGAAGUUAAACAGGCACAGAGAGGCUAAGAGUCUUGCCAAAGGCCACAGAGGAAGGAAGAGACUAAAUCUGGAACAAACUUUCUAUUCUCCAUUUCCAGAAGAAACCACUAAACCAUGCUUCCUCUUGUCAUGGAAGCUUAAAAUAUUUGAUCAAACUACGUUUAAAUAAGAAUUAAAAUGCCAUUUGUCCAUCACCUAAUGGCUCAAUUUGCUCCUGCCUUGGGUGUGCACACCCUGCUCUGGAACAGACCAGAGCUCUAAAGAAGUGACUGGAAGUUGUGAAUGUCAUUGUUAUGAAGCUUCAAAUUUGCUCUCCUCUUUAGGACACAGACAUGGCAUUAGAGAAGGGCAGAAAACUGCACUUGGCUGUGCAUAGAGAACACUAGAGACCUCUUGUGCAAGAGAGGGGACUAGGUUGCGUAGUGUAAUGAGAGAAGCAUGGGUUUUGAGACCGCUACAAUGUCUGUGUCUUCUUGGCCAACAUUUCAGUAAGAGUAGUAAGCAUAUCUCCACAAUAGGGUUAAGAGAACCAGUGUCUUCUGAAAAACACAUGAAAUCAUCGUAACCCUGCUAAGUCUGUGCUUUGCAAAAAUUAAAACUAAAACUAAUUUUCA
Molecule: long non-coding RNA, 902 nt
Filed under: Homo sapiens (human)
Lineage: Eukaryota; Metazoa; Chordata; Mammalia; Primates; Hominidae
Description: long intergenic non-protein coding RNA 382
Source: RNAcentral